This 195-nucleotide ribosomal RNA is filed under the name uncultured soil bacterium. RNAcentral's name for it is "partial 16S ribosomal RNA". It matches the Rfam family "Bacterial small subunit ribosomal RNA", at positions 26 to 222 of the family's 1533-position model. The record is from RNAcentral.
AGAUUGAACGCUGGCGGCAGGCCUAACACAUGCAAGUCGAGCGGUAGAGAGGUGCUUGCACCUCUUGAGAGCGGCGGACGGGUGAGUAAUGCCUAGGAAUCUGCCUAGUGGUGGGGGAUAACGUUCGGAAACGGACGCUAAUACCGCAUACCGUCCUACGGGAGAAAGCGGGGGACCUUCGGGCCUCGCGCCAUU